AUAAAUAUACAACUAAUUAUUAUUGUCACACUUACAUAUUCAAAAUAUGUAGUGUAGUGUAGUGUAGCAAGCUGCUUUAGAUUGCCUCAAACACGUUAUUGGGCUUGGAAUACCCCCUUGUUCUCUUAUCCAAUUCAAUUCAGUGUAAUUAUCCGAUUCCACACUCUUGCAUUUUGCACCUCUCGUGGGUCGUGGCCUUUAUUAUAGGCAAAACCACGAAAGACGAUGGUGACUUAUUGUUGUCUUUUGCAAAGCCAUAUCGCAUAAUGCCUUGUUUGUUUUGUGUUGAUUGUGUUUUUUCCUGCUCACGGUUUGUUGCUUGCCUUGUAUCCAUGCUUAUUACUAUUUUGGUUCUACUUAUGAAGUAGCGCCUGAUUUGGUUCUGAAUGUGUAAAAUAUAUUUUGAUAUAUUCGGUUAUGUUUAAGUAGAAUUAAUUUUCUUUUUGAAGAAUUUAUUCUAAGUUUGUAGUUAUGAAUUCUAAAUGUGAUUUUUAAUUUGUUGUUUAAUUUACUUUUUCGUAAU
This 523-nucleotide long non-coding RNA is filed under the name Cicer arietinum (chickpea). RNAcentral describes it as "long non-coding RNA (CARI_LNC002214)". Lineage: Eukaryota; Viridiplantae; Streptophyta; Magnoliopsida; Fabales; Fabaceae. The record is from RNAcentral.